GAUGAACGCUAGCGAUAGGCCUAACACAUGCAAGUCGAGGGGCAGCACGGGAGUAGCAAUACAACUGGUGGCGACCGGCGCACGGGUGAGUAACGCGUAUGUAAUCUACCUACAACAGGGGGAUAACCCGGAGAAAUCCGGACUAAUACCGCAUAAAACAGGGGUCCCGCCUGGGACUAUUUGUUAAAGAUUUAUCGGUUGUAGAUGAGCAUGCGUUCCAUUAGAUAGUUGGUAAGGUAACGGCUUACCAAGUCAGCGAUGGAUAGGGGAACUGAGAGGUUUGUCCCCCACACUGGAACUGAGACACGGACCAGACUCCUACGGGAGGCAGCAGUGAGGAAUAUUGGUCAAUGGGCGAGAGCCUGAACCAGCCAAAUCGCGUGAAGGAAGACUGCCUUAUGGGUUGUAAACUUCUUUUACAGGGGAAUAAAAAGACAUGCGAGUAUGUCAUUGCAUGUACCCUGUGAAUAAGCAUCGGCUAACUCCGUGCCAGCCGCCGCGGUAA
Molecule: ribosomal RNA, 505 nt
Filed under: uncultured bacterium
Lineage: Bacteria
Description: partial 16S ribosomal RNA
Rfam family: Bacterial small subunit ribosomal RNA
Source: RNAcentral